Molecule: ribosomal RNA, 490 nt
Filed under: uncultured bacterium
Lineage: Bacteria
Description: partial 16S ribosomal RNA
Rfam family: Bacterial small subunit ribosomal RNA
Source: RNAcentral
AUUGAACGCUGGCGGCAGGCCUAACACAUGCAAGUCGAACGGUAACAGGAAGAGGCUUCCUCCCUUGCUUACGAGUGGCGGGCGGGUGAGACAUGUCUGUGAAACUGCUUGAUGGCGGGGGUAAACUACUGGAACCGGUAGCUAUUACCGCAUAACGUCUCAAGCGCAAAGAGCAGUACCUUCGGGCCUUUUUCCUUUGGCUUUGCCCAGAUGGGAUUAGCUAGUAGGUGGGGUAACGGCUUACCAAGGCGACGAUCCCUAGCUGGUCUGAGAGGAUGACCAGCCACACUGGAACUGAGACACGGUCCAGACUCCUACGGGAGGCAGCAGUGGGGAAUAUUGCACAAUGGGCGAAAGCCUGAUGCAGCCAUGCCGCGUGUAUGAAGAAGGCCUUCGGGUUGUAAAGUACUUUCAGCGGGGAGGAAGGGAGUAAAGUUAAUACCUUUACUCAUUGACGUUACCCGCAGAAGAAGCACCGGCUAACUCCGUG